Molecule: ribosomal RNA, 468 nt
Filed under: uncultured bacterium
Lineage: Bacteria
Description: partial 16S ribosomal RNA
Rfam family: Bacterial small subunit ribosomal RNA
Source: RNAcentral
GACGAACGCUGGCGGCGUGCUUAACACAUGCAAGUCGAACGGAAAGGCCCUGCUUUUGUGGGGUGCUCGAGUGGCGAACGGGUGAGUAACACGUGAGUAACCUGCCCUUGACUUUGGGAUAACUUCAGGAAACUGGGGCUAAUACCGGAUAGGAGCUCCUGCUGCAGGGUGGGGGUUGGAAAGUUUCGGCGGUUGGGGAUGGACGCGCGGCUUAUGAGCUUGUUGGUGGGGUAGUGGCUUACCAAGGCUUUGACGGGUAGCCGGCCGGAGAGGGUGACCGGCCACAUUGGGACUAAGAUAGGGCGCAGACUCCUACGGGAGGCAGCAGUGGGGAAUAUUGCCCAAUGGGCGGAAGCCUGAUGCAGCAACGCCGCGUGCGGGAUGACGGCCUUCGGGUUGUAAACCGCUUUCGCCUGUGACGAAGCGUGAGUGACGGUAAUGGGUAAAGAAGCACCGGCUAACUACGUG